Ornithorhynchus anatinus (platypus) is the source of this 713-nucleotide long non-coding RNA. RefSeq lists it as uncharacterized. The transcript has 3 exons. NCBI's taxonomy places the organism in Eukaryota, Metazoa, Chordata, Mammalia, Monotremata, Ornithorhynchidae. The record is from RefSeq and is a predicted model, not a curated record.
GAAGCAAGCAGAGAGAAGCAUGGCAGGAGAGUAGCAUUCAAGCAGAAGAAGGCAGAAGCAACAGGAGGCAGCAGCAAUUGGAAGCAGCAACACCAUGUGGAAACUGAUAGAAUAUGGAAAAGGCCCCAGUCUGGGAGUUUUCUAACUUCCACUGACCUGCUGCGUGACCUUGGAGCCCCUGAGCGAUGAUGUCCAGCUCUCUGAGCUCUACCCACCUGUCCCUCCAUCUAAUGGCCCAGUCCACAGUGGACAUCCCAAGAAGUGGCCAUCUGUCCUCUCUGCCUAACGGGAAGAAAUGUUUUGAGCUGCAGCCUGAAGAAUUCAGAGACAAGGAGAAUGGGGUGACCCUGAGCAUUCGACACCAGAAUGGGGAAUGGAGGGAGAUUGAGAGCUUCUUUGAACUCAUGACUCUGCUGCCCGGAUCAUUUAUCAACAAUAACAUUCAGUUCAUGUCUCUCCAUUCCUUCAAAACCUCUAAUAGCGGCCAUCCACCUCUGCAGCCAACAGAAAUUCCGUACCAUCAACUUUAAGGCAUUCAAUCAACUCACCCCACCUUACCUCACCUCACUAAGUCUUCUACUAGUCCAUCCUGCCCAGUCUGCUUCUCUCCCCCCAACUUACUCGCUGUGCCCCGAUCACAUCUAUCUGGUCACCGACCCCUUUCCCACAUCCUCCCCCUAGCCUGGAACUCCAUCCCCCCUGUAUGUCUCCAC